RNAcentral lists this ribosomal RNA (490 nucleotides) under uncultured bacterium. Its description in RNAcentral is "partial 16S ribosomal RNA". It matches the Rfam family "Bacterial small subunit ribosomal RNA", at positions 30 to 507 of the family's 1533-position model. The record is from RNAcentral.
AUUGAACGCUGGCGGCAGGCCUAACACAUGCAAGUCGAACGGUAACAGGAAGCAGCUUGCUGCUUCGCUGACGAGUGGCGGACGGGUGAGUAAUGUCUGGGAAGCUGCCUGAUGGAGGGGGAUAACUACUGGAAACGGUAGCUAAUACCGCAUAAUGUCGCAAGACCAAAGAGGGGGACCUUCGGGCCUCUUGCCAUCGGAUGUGCCCAGAUGGGAUUAGCUUGUUGGUGGGGUAACGGCUCACCAAGGCGACGAUCCCUAGCUGGUCUGAGAGGAUGACCCGCCCAACCUGAACUGGGACACGGUCCCAGACCCUUAGGGGGGGCAGCGUGGGGAAAUUUGGCACAUGGGGGGCAAGCUUAUGGCGGCCAGCCCGGGGGUAGAAAAAGGACUUCCGGUUGUAAAGGUACUUUCGCGGGGAGGAAGGGGGUUAAAGUUAAAACCUGGCUCAUUGACGUUACCCGCAGAAGAAGCACCGGCUAACUCCGUG